GAUGAACGCUGGCGGCGUGCUUAACACAUGCAAGUCGAACGGUGAAGCAGGAGCUUGCUCUUGUGAUCAGUGGCGAACGGGUGAGUAACACGUGAGCAACCUGCCCCUGACUCUGGGAUAAGCGCUGGAAACGGCGUCUAAUACUGGAAAUGUGAUGUGACCGCAUGGUCUGCAUCUGGAAAGAAUUUCGGUUGGGGAUGGGCUCGCGGCCUAUCAGCUUGUUGGUGAGGUAAUGGCUCACCAAGGCGUCGACGGGUAGCCGGCCUGAGAGGGUGGCCGGCCACACUGGGACGGAGACACGGCCCAGACUCCUACGGGAGGCAGCAGUGGGGAAUAUUGCACAAUGGGCGGAAGCCUGAUGCAGCAACGCCGCGUGAGGGAUGACGGCCUUCGGGUUGUAAACCUCUUUUAGCAGGGAAGAAGCGAAAGUGACGGUACCUGCAGAAAAAGCACCGGCUAACUACGUGCCAGCAGCCGCCGUAA
This 483-nucleotide ribosomal RNA is filed under the name uncultured bacterium. RNAcentral describes it as "partial 16S ribosomal RNA". It matches the Rfam family "Bacterial small subunit ribosomal RNA", at positions 28 to 523 of the family's 1533-position model. The record is from RNAcentral.